Molecule: long non-coding RNA, 5549 nt
Organism: Passer domesticus (house sparrow)
Lineage: Eukaryota; Metazoa; Chordata; Aves; Passeriformes; Passeridae
Exons: 2
Source: RefSeq, a predicted model, not a curated record
GAGUUGGUUUUUUUGGGUUUUUUUUGUUUUUUUGUUUUUUUGUUUUUCUUUUUGCAAGGAAGAGGAGGAAGGGAAAGGUGAGUGUGCGAAAUAACAAGGUAAAAGUGUGGGAAGGGAGAAAGCUCCAGAAAGCUCCGCGAAGCUUUUCCAUCCUCACCUUUGAAACUUCGUUCACUGCUGAUAGUUUUCCAGCUCCUGUUCCACAUAACCACAGCAGAUCAGCCAUGUUUGUAAAUUAAAGGCGCUCUCAGCUGCUAAAGUAUCAAGUUGAUUACUUUUUGUCCCAUAGGAAAUCUUUGCGGGUUUUUGAUAAUCAGCUACCUUAUGAAACUAGCAUAAAACAUAGCAAAAAGGUUGUAGAGAUUUCUAAAGAUAGACUCCUUUAUUCGGUGCUUCAGGAAAGUUCAUCUCCAUUAGGCUUGACUGCUUUAAGAUUUGUCAGGUCACAGAGCUUAUAUCUACAAUACUCCUUCAUGAGUAUUUCAAGGAAAGUGCAGUUUCUUUCCUGGGAAAAGAACUCUAUGCUAAAAAUCGUUCAAGGCAGGGGAAUUUGAGUCAACAGAUACCAUCUCUCAAAUGUGAAUUCCCUAAAAACCUAUGCUUGUUUAAAAAAUGCUGUUUAUUUUUUAGCAAAACUUUGUGCUCCUUCCUGGGGUAUUGCAUUAAAAAUUGUAUUUCAAAAUGCAAAAAUAUGUGUGAGUUGCAUGAGCAGAGUUAGGCUGCAAUUCUUCAAAUUAUGGGCAGCUCUUUGCAGAGUUUGGACUUCAGCUUGGUUGGCUGGAGAUUUUUUGAUUGAUCAAGGAAGUCAGGGAAGUCAGGAAACUCAGGAAAAUAAUAGUGAGUUACAUAUUUUACAUAAAAGCAAUUUCUUAUUGUGUAACUCAGAGUUGUGAGUUAUACUUGAGAAAGUAUAGCAAUGUUUAUAUUCAAAACAUAGACAAAGAGAAAUAUCUAUGGGUCAAGGAGAUAUAAAAUGAAAAAUUUCUGCCAUAAAACCUUAUCAAAGGCCUUCAAGCCUGCAAAUAAAUAACACUCCACAUCUGUCCCUUCCAACAGAUCCAUUCUUUGCUCACACCAGGAACUUCUUAAAUUUCAGGACAGGCAAGGAGGAGCAAAGCAAAACAUCUGUGGAGAGAAAAGUCAACAAAUUUCAAGAGCCAAAGUGUCGUUUGGUCUAAAAUCAGAGAGGUCAGGUUAAGGAAUCCUCUGUGCAGGAUCAUAAGCACCAGUUGGGAGCCAAGUACAAAGGAAAGGGAGAGAGAGAGCAUCUGCACAACAUAAAAUCUGCCAGUUUACAGCUUUAUGAUCAGUUUAACUAUUUCUUCAAGUAACAGCAAGCUGAAGAGCACUAUGUUGCAACCAUGCAAUGAUAAAUGCCAGUUUAUUAUUACAUGUAUUUAUCCUCAUCAGAAUAUUACACAAGAGCUAUGAAAUGUAAAUUGAGAUCCCUCUCUGGACUUUAUAAUCUGAAUUGAUUAUUAUAGUUUAACUAAAUGUCUGUACACAACUAAAAAAAUCACCAUCUAAUUAGUUUGUGGGGCGAUAUCACUGUUGUUCAGUGCCUAUUAUAAUAAUUUCCUAAGAAAAGAGAUUCUUCUGAAAUUUCAUUUCAGCAUGUACAUUCUUGGAGAAGACAAUUACAGUGUUUUUUAUUGCUCCUUCCCCCCAGUUCCUUCCUGGUAUUACAAAGUACCAGGCAAUCAAAAUGGUCCUCGUUGCAAGGUACAGAAUCAUUGAUAUAAUUUUUUCCUAGCAUAGGUUUCUAAUGAGCUUUGAACAAUUAUGAGGAUAGAUGAGAAUCUCAGUUUCUUAAACAAGUGUAACUUCACAUUUACCCCGAGUGAGUGCAGCAAGUAUUGCAAGGAGAUUAGACAUUUCUUGGUCUUUGACAAGCCAAGCCAAUGAGAAAAUGGAAUGCCGUGGUACAGAGUAGAAUGUCCAGAGGUUAAUAAAUCUGAGCUGUGACAGAUUAAAGAGAGGAGCAAAUUCAAAGCAAAAAAGCUCUUCACAGCACACCCUGCCUACAACUUCCUCUCAACAGAGACACUUCCUCAGCAACUUGACAGGCUGAAAGUGCAACCCAGUAAAGAGAUGUAGUCCAAGACAUCUCUCAGGUUCCUCCUGGUAUUCCACAGCUGCUUCAGCAGCAAAAGUCUUUGCCCUUUCUAUUCCUGAAAGUGAUUUCAAGCUGUAAUUUGAAUUCCACAUUACUUGGCUCUGAGAAGACAAAGGCUUCCAUGAGGAUUCAAGAAAAACUGCUGUUUCAGAGGAAUCUGGGAAACAGCUGCUCCAGGAGCUUGCACAAAGCUGUCAUAGGUCAGUGGAAAAGGGACAAGAAAAUUGAGUGCCUCCUGCCUAGCCAGAAAAGACACCACAUCAGCUGCCCCCAAGACCAAGGUCCCAGAAGGGUUUGGCUGCUCCAUGGUACAAGCUUCACUGACCUCAGGAGCUGCCUGAACUGAAGUGCGCACCAGAUGGCACGGCUGGCUUUGGAGAAAAGCAGGAGCUCCAGGACAGUCUGGAUGCCACAAAGGGGGAGCAGAACAAAACAGGAAACUCUGUAAAUUCAUACUUUUCUUAGAACCAUAAUUGUCAUAACACAGAGGUUUUUUUAAAACUUGAGCUAUCACCUAUGCCUGGUAUAUGGCCCCACAUUCAUGCACUUCCAUCCCUCACACUGACAUCAGCUAGGAUUAGUGGUACCCUUCCAUCCAGCUUUCCAGGGGCUGUGAACAGUCUGUCACACCCUCCUAUUACCAGCUCUGAUCUAUGCCAGGAGCUAAAGGCAGAGGGUCCAGACACCUGGACAGGCUACUCAAAAGAACGUACCAAGGUCUACAGCAAAGAGGUCCAAAGCCCUGCCAAGAAGGGGGUGUGGGCAGGAAUUAGAAGAGCACAGAAGCAUCAUCAGAGCCUGGUUGUGCGGGGUCCUUCCCCAAUUUAAACAAAAAUGCACAGCAGCUAAUAGCUUAAUAAAAGUGCUUUAAUAAUAAGAUACUAAUAAGAAGAGGAAUAUAGACUGUAAUUGCUAGAUCUCUUCAUCCUGGGAACCCUGCUUUGGUGGAGCAUUGAAUAGACCCAAUGAAGCAGUGCAGUUCUCAGACUCUCUGUUUUGAAAGGAAAUACAGAACUAUUUUAUUAUAUUGCAGUAAAUAUAUCACAUGCCUGUAUUGUGCCUAAGCAUACAUGCCUGACUACACAUGCUUGACUACAGAGACCCUGCUUGUAACUCUGGGCUCUUCAUGGCCACCAAAGCAGGAGAUGCAGGCAGCAAGAGAUACUGGGUGUCUGCAAAGGGUGGCAUGGUUUGGAAACAGGUUAUUAGAGCUGCACUGAUUCCACACUGCAAAGUAAGUGGUGAUAGUUUUCUGUUGAUUGGUUUCUGCUGUUUUCCUCCUAGAAUAGACUCAUUGGUAUCAAUGAUGUUGAAGGCAAGACUCAGCAUAUUUUCUGUGAUACAGGUCACAUGCUGGAAACUGGUUAUUAUUCAGUAGGACUGACUGGAUUGGAUGGUAUACUGAAUUAUGGCAAAUACAAUCCUCCCCAAAAGAUCAGAGAAAAUUCACAAUAAUUUUUCCUUUGUUGAAAAAAUGGAACCUGUAGGCAAGGGUGAAAUAUUGUUAAUACAGGUGAUUGGCAUAAUGCUCUUCCCAGUGUGCGCAUGAGACUUCUUAUGUUUUGAUUAAACAUUGCAAGAACUUGAAGGCGUCAGUAGUCAAUGCAGGCUAAGGAACAACCACCAUAAAGUUCACAAGAGACAUCUUUAACAUGAAAAACAAAUGUUAACAGCAUGAAAAACUUACUGUUCAUCUCACAGCUGAUCUUGUGGGAAAAACUUGUGGAACUUGGAGGAUCCAAAUCCAUCACCUCCAAAUUUGUUUUAGGAAGCAGUGAGAAUAUGACUUGGCCUUCAGAGAGAUGUGAAAGCUAAAUGGCAUUUAAUUUAUGCUUCUAACAUCUCAGAUAGUUCUGAAUGGAUCAGAAAUUUAUAACUUAGCUCAUACUUUUAAACCACAAUUAAUUUGUGAGAGCAGUUGUAUUUUGUGGAUAAUUAUUGCUUCCUUAUUAUUUUGCAAAAAUUAUUAAACAGGAGUUAAUCAGUUAAUCAUACCCUCUGAUCUUUUCUUCUGGGAAUUUGCAUUUCUUUUCAAACGUAGUCGGCUAUGCAGUUGGGAAAAGAUCUGUAGGACACCAGUGUUGUUCUGGUAGUUGAUCUUUUACUAGCAAGUGGUGAGUUUUUCCUGCUCAAAGAAUACAACUGCUUAUGCAAAAAAAAUCUGUGUUAAAAGAUCUUGGUGUGAGAUUAGUUAAGGAUUCAUUACUUUUUUUUGUAGAUUAUAUAGAGAUAAUGCAAGAAACAAAACUUCGAGACGGCAUAAGAUGAAAGCCAAGAGCUUAAAUAAGUGGUCUUAGUCCAACCUGUGGAACAAUGAACAUCUCCAAAUGUCUUCUGCAGCUUUUAAAAUUAAGUAAUUUAUUUAUACACUUAAACACAAAUUAGAUGUCAGCUUUAAACUUCUGUUAUAGAAAUUUGCCAUAGAAUCCAAUUCAAAAGGCAAUUUAACUUUAUUAAUGUGGGAGGAAAUGUGAGCAUAAUGUGAGCUAUUUUUUAACCUUAACUGCCAUUCCUGCUGUUGCAAGAAAGUGCCUUACACCUAUCUGGAAAGCCAUUAUUAGCAAACUGAAUAAUUUAUCACUUCCAAUUUACAAGAAAUUAGCCCUUCCUAAGAGUAAAACCAGAAGCCAUUUAAAAAAUAAUAAUUCAAAAACUUAUGUCAGGUUCCUAAUUUGAGGAACAGUAGGAGUGUCCUGAUGUGCAAUUCAGAGAGCAUUAUUUUAGAACCAGAACCAGCUUUUCCUGUCUAUAAAAGCAGGUGACUGUGCUUUGCUGCUACCUUAUGGGCACUUUUACAGAUGUUUGAACUGAAUUUUCACAGGUAGAGAAAAGUGGGAAAUUGUGACUUGGAAAUCUCCGUGCUUCACCUUUAUAAUGCUAUUUAGAGACAUCCUCUACUAUUCAAAUAUUACCAUUAAUAUAUAGGAUGGAAACAGACUUAUCGCUUACAUCUCUCUUUAAAAUGAACUCUGCAUUAUUUGAAAUGUAUUACUUUUGAAUUAAAUACUCUUAUAUUUAACUAACUACAGGUAGUUAUGGGACCAGCCUUUGUGUUGAAAAAAUAGCCUUGACUGGGAAAACAGGGGAAAUCAGAUGCCCUAUUAUUCAUAAAAAAUAAACACAUUUUAUUCAUAAAAAGAAAUACAUAUGGCAAAGGACAAAGUUUAUGGGGCAAUCUUUGGUUAAUUCCUGUCAAGUGAAAUUGCACUGAAUAGAAUUUAUUUUCAGAUUCCCUUUCUAUCUACAUAGCUGUCCACAGUGCAAAGUCUGAGUUAAAUGCUGCCGAGGCUGACAGUAGUGCUCACUGUCUCUUUUGUGCUGGGUAAACAAAGGCUCAUCAGUGAAGAAGCAGUCUAACAGUUUUUAAUACCUAGUGAGGUAUCAGCUCCACUUUAAAAAGAAUAAUAAUAAAAAAUUUAUUAGGUAUUGGAAA